GAUGAAGAACGUAGCGAAAUGCGAUAAGUAAUGUGAAUUGCAGAAUUCAGUGAAUCAUCGAAUCUUUGAACGCACAUUGCGCCCGCUAGUAUUCUGGCGGGCAUGCCUGUCCGAGCGUCAUUUCAACCCUCAAGCCCCCGGGCUUGGUGUUGGGGAUCGGCGAGCCUCCGCGCCCGCCGUCCCCUAAAUCUAGUGGCGGUCUCGCUGUAGCUUCCUCUGCGUAGUAGCACACCUCGCACUGGGAAACAGCGCGGCCACGCCGUUAAACCCCCAGCUUCUGAACGUUUGACCUCGGAUCAGGUAGGAAUACCCGCUGAACUUAAGCAUAUCAAUAAGCGGAGGA
This 343-nucleotide unclassified non-coding RNA is filed under the name soil metagenome. RNAcentral describes it as "partial contains 5.8S ribosomal RNA, internal transcribed spacer 2, and large subunit ribosomal RNA". The stretch from base 1 to 120 matches the Rfam family "5.8S ribosomal RNA", at positions 35 to 154 of the family's 154-position model. The record is from RNAcentral.